Molecule: non-coding RNA, 113 nt
Organism: Acanthosepion pharaonis
Lineage: Eukaryota; Metazoa; Mollusca; Cephalopoda; Sepiida; Sepiidae
Source: the annotation of a GenBank genome assembly
UUACAACCAUAUCAUGUUGAAACAUUGGUACCCGUAUGAUCACAGAAGUUAAGCAACGUUGAGCCUGGGCAGUACCUAGAUGGGUGAGCGCUUGGGAAUACAAGGUGCAGUAA